This 500-nucleotide ribosomal RNA is filed under the name uncultured bacterium. RNAcentral's name for it is "partial 16S ribosomal RNA". It matches the Rfam family "Bacterial small subunit ribosomal RNA", at positions 30 to 523 of the family's 1533-position model. The record is from RNAcentral.
AUUGAACGCUGGCGGCAUGCCUUACACAUGCAAGUCGAACGGCAGCACGGGAGCAAUCCUGGUGGCGAGUGGCGAACGGGUGAGUAAAGUAUCGGAACGUGCCCAGUCGUGGGGGAUAACGUAGCGAAAGUUACGCUAAUACCGCAUACGAUCUAUGGAUGAAAGCGGGGGAUCGCAAGACCUCGCGCGAUUGGAGCGGCCGAUAUCAGAUUAGGUAGUUGGUGGGGUAAAGGCUCACCAAGCCGACGAUCUGUAGCUGGUCUGAGAGGACGGCCAGCCACACUGGGACUGAGACACGGCCCAGACUCCUACGGGAGGCAGCAGUGGGGGAUUUAGGACAAUGGGCGAAAGCCUGAUCCAGCCAUGCCGCGUGCAGGAUGAAGGCCUUCGGGUUGUAAACUGCUUUUGUACGGAACGAAAAGGUUUGGCCUAAUAAGCUGAGCUCAUGACGGUACCGUAAGAAUAAGCACCGGCUAACUACGUGCCAGCCGCCGCCGUAA